Molecule: ribosomal RNA, 478 nt
Filed under: uncultured bacterium
Lineage: Bacteria
Description: partial 16S ribosomal RNA
Rfam family: Bacterial small subunit ribosomal RNA
Source: RNAcentral
GAUGAACGCUGGCGGCGUGCUUAACACAUGCAAGUCGAACGAGAAAUGUAGACGGAAACCUUCGGGCGGAAGCCUUCAUUUCGAGUGGCGGACGGGUGAGUAACGCGUGGGUAACCUGCCUCAUACAGGGGGAUAACAGUUGGAAACGACUGUUAAUACCGCAUAAGACCACAGCAUCGCAUGAUGCGGGGGUAAAAACUCCGGUGGUAUGAGAUGGACCCGCGUUCGAUUAGCCAGUUGGCGGGGUAACGGCCCACCAAAGCGACGAUCGAUAGCCGAUCUGAGAGGAUGUCCGGCCACAUUGGGACUGAGACACGGCCCAAACUCCUACGGGAGGCAGCAGUGGGGAAUAUUGCACAAUGGGGGAAACCCUGAUGCAGCGACGCCGCGUGAGUGAAGAAGUACUUCGGUAUGUAAAGCUCUAUCAGCAGGGAAGAAAAUGACGGUACCUGAGUAAGAAGCCCCGGCUAACUACGUG